ACCUUCGGGCCUCUUGCCAUCGGAUGUGCCCAGAUGGGAUUAGCUAGUAGGUGGGGUAACGGCUCACCUAGGCGACGAUCCCUAGCUGGUCUGAGAGGAUGACCAGCCACACUGGAACUGAGACACGGUCCAGACUCCUACGGGAGGCAGCAGUGGGGAAUAUUGCACAAUGGGCGCAAGCCUGAUGCAGCCAUGCCGCGUGUAUGAAGAAGGCCUUCGGGUUGUAAAGUACUUUCAGCGGGGAGGAAGGGAGUAAAGUUAAUACCUUUGCUCAUUGACGUUACCCGCAGAAGAAGCACCGGCUAACUCCGUGCCAGCAGCCGCGGUAAUACGGAGGGUGCAAGCGUUAAUCGGAAUUACUGGGCGUAAAGCGCACGCAGGCGGUUUGUUAAGUCAGAUGUGAAAUCCCCGGGCUCAACCUGGGAACUGCAUCUGAUACUGGCAAGCUUGAGUCUCGUAGAGGGGGGUAGAAUUCCAGGUGUAGCGGUGAAAUGCGUAGAGAUCUG
RNAcentral lists this ribosomal RNA (506 nucleotides) under Escherichia coli. RNAcentral describes it as "bacterial SSU rRNA". It matches the Rfam family "Bacterial small subunit ribosomal RNA", at positions 199 to 700 of the family's 1533-position model. The record is from RNAcentral. Lineage: Bacteria; Pseudomonadati; Pseudomonadota; Gammaproteobacteria; Enterobacterales; Enterobacteriaceae.